Hordeum vulgare subsp. vulgare (domesticated barley) is the source of this 1445-nucleotide long non-coding RNA. RefSeq lists it as uncharacterized. The record is from RefSeq and is a predicted model, not a curated record. The transcript has 3 exons. NCBI's taxonomy places the organism in Eukaryota, Viridiplantae, Streptophyta, Magnoliopsida, Poales, Poaceae.
UUAUUUCCCAAGCGCCUGAAACCCUAACCCGCGGCAUAGCCAUGUCGACCAAGCUCUCGAUUCACGGGCUGGAGGUGCAGCACCAGAUGCACCGUCGACGAGGCCCACACGAUCCUCCCUCUCCCCCCUACGUCGUCCGCCUCCUCCCUACCUUCCCCUACACCGCCUCCCUCCGCCCUUGAAUCCGAUUCAAAUCCGUCCUCACGGGGGAGAUCAGAUCCGAUCCAGUCCAGGGCGCCGCCAUCAUGCACCACCACCACCAGUUAGACCAGUGGCUCGUCGGCAACGUGGGCGGGGUGUUGUGCUCGAGCAAAUCCGCCCCCUGCCUCCCCGUGCCCUACCGCUCGCUCUGACUCAACCUCGUCGUCUCCUAGUACUUGCGCCGCCGCCUCCAGGACCAUGUCUUCGUGCUCGAGCAGGACCUCCACGCUGCUGCCCGUCACAUUGACCUCCUCAGGCUGCCGACCUCUUCCUAUGGUCUGAGCCGGUGCCCGGAGCUGGCAAAUGUGGCGCCACACCGCAGGCCGAUGGGCCCUGCCCUAUCAUCUUCAUCACCUACCGCGAUGACUUUCGCAAGGUCAUGGACUACUUCCAUGGCCACUAUGCCGCCAGCUAGCGCAGGCCCCACGCCCUCCGUCUCACGGUCGACGGAUAAGUGCUAAGACUUGCAUAUUACAUUGAGAGGCUUCGUUCUUGCUUAGUUUUUUGUCGGUAGUAUACAGUGUGCAUGUGCAAAAUCUAGGUAGCUUGUCUUGCACAGGACCAACCUAAUUGAACUACACAUGUCAGUGUAGAUGCUACGGUUGUCUCUUGGGUUCGAAAACUUAAAAUUCCACUCCGGUUUAUCUAUGUUUUACUCAUGGAUUUGACCUGAACCUGCAUUACACAUGAGUUGAUACAAUCAUAUAGCUUAUCUGAUCAAACAAUUUGUUAAUGCUAUCUUUACCUACUGCUCUUAUACCUUACCAAAACAAUAAUAAUUCUAACUAGAAGUAGUUCUUUUUAUUUAAAUUAUGUAUUUAUUACUGUUGACAUAUUGUCGUGAUGUACAUUUUGUACUGAAUAGCUCUUUCUGAUAUUCACAGGUUUUAGCGAUCACAUGUAGCUCUUUCGUCAAAGUUGCAUGGUGUAUGGUGCAAUAGAGGACAAGCGCUUCAUGUCCAACAAAGGUGCAUGGUGCUUGCAAUUGACGAACAUAGGUUGUUCUACAUCGGCUACAUAAACCACCACUGAGCUCUAGGUCUACGAAAUUUGAAGUUCGAAGCCGUAUAGCCCUAAUCAGCAAAGAGUUGUCUCUUUUGUUUCACGGUAAUAGACUGUAAAUAUUGUAAUAUUGUAAUAGUUGGCAUAUUUGGGUUGUAAUAGACUAUGUGUAUAGAUUGUAGUAGACUUGUAAUGUGAAGACAAACUCGCAACUCACGGUCUCGAGACUUGUAAUGUUCUAA